This 492-nucleotide ribosomal RNA is filed under the name uncultured bacterium. Its description in RNAcentral is "partial 16S ribosomal RNA". It matches the Rfam family "Bacterial small subunit ribosomal RNA", at positions 29 to 507 of the family's 1533-position model. The record is from RNAcentral.
AGUGAACGCUGGCGGCAGGCCUAACACAUGCAAGUCGAACGGCAGCACAGUAAGAGCUUCCUCUCACCGAUGGCGAGUGGCGGACGGGUCACGCAUACAUCGGAACCUACUUUUUCGUGGGGGAUAACGUAGGGACACUUACGCUAAUACCGCAUACGACCUACGGGUGAAAGCACGGGAUCUUCGGACCUUGCGCGAUUGAAUGAGCCGAGGUCGGAUUAGCUAGUUGGCGGGGUAAAGGCCCACCAAGGCGACGAUCCGUAGCUGGUCUGAGAGGAUGAUCAGCCACACUGGAACUGAGACACGGUCCAGACUCCUACGGGAGGCAGCAGUGGGGAAUGUUGGACAAUGGGCGCAAGCCUGAUCCAGCCAUACCGCGUGAGUGAAGAAGGCCUUCGGGUUGUAAAGACCUGUUGUUGGGAAAGAAAAGCAGCUGGUUAAUACCCCGCUGUUCUGACGGUACCCAAAGAAUAAGCACCGGCUAGCUUCGUG